Molecule: long non-coding RNA, 2826 nt
Filed under: Canis lupus familiaris (dog)
Lineage: Eukaryota; Metazoa; Chordata; Mammalia; Carnivora; Canidae
Description: lncRNA (ENSCAFG00845001466.1)
Source: RNAcentral
AUGGGUAGAAAGGGUGGCGGUCGGCCGCGUCCGGCAGGCCCCUCGGCCGCCGCCCCUGCGGGUCCUGCCCCGGGCACGGGGUCCCGUGAUGGCGGCAGUGUGGAUGGAGCCGGCACCGUUGAGUGGACUUUGCUCUGGGCGCUGCUGCCUCUGCUGUGGGUGCCUGUGCUGCCGGGGUGUGCCUCCUGGGCAGGUUGGAGGCCGGAACUGCCGUCCGAUUUCUUCUUCUUCCUAUCGUUUGUUUCCAGCAAGUGGCGUGGGCUUGUCACUUCAUCCCAGUCCUACAGCUGUGGCGGGUCUUUGGCAGGUGUCCAGUCACUGCACGAAGGAUGGAAGGUGCCUCCUGCCAAGGGCUCCCACACCUACAGAUCCAGCCCCUGCCCUGACCUGCAGUCUCUGAGGAACAGAAGGCUUUGGGACCCCAUCCAGGCCCUGCCACUUCCCAAGCAGGUACCACCACUUCAUCAUCACCCAGGAUAAUCAGUGAGUCUCAGUUGCUGUUGCUGUAAUUAUUAUUGUUGCUGUUUUCAUUAUCUUUGUUACUUUUUCCCAUUCCUGUGGCAUCUUAAAGCCCUUACUGUUCUAUGCCUCACAGUCCACAUAGGAAGGUCCUGACCUCAUGGUAUUCUCCAUUGGCUCCCACAUAGGAGGCUCUGUCUCUCUUUUUUUAAGAUUUUAUUUAUUUAUGAGAGACAGAGAGAGGCAGAGACACAGGCAGAGGGAGAAGCAGGCUCCAUGCAGGGAGCCUGAUGUGGGACUUGAUCCCGGGUCUCCAGAAUCAGGCCCUGGGCUGAAGGCAGCGCUAAACCGCUGAGCCACCCGGGCUGCCCAGGAGGCUCUUUUAUGCUGCUGUAUUCCAGGCAAAACAGCAUCUCUGCCUCUUUGAGUCCAGCGCAGAGCUCAGCCCUCACAGGGUACUUGGUUACUCUGCUCCCUUGCCAUCAAGAGAGAUGGACUCUGAUUCCUAUCAGUAGCCCCAAGACCAACACACUGCCUCUGACUUUUCAGAUGCCUGUGACCUUUGAUUAUGUGGCCGUGACUUUUACCCAGGAGGAGUGGGGGCAGCUGGAUCUGGCCCAGAGGACCCUGUAUGAGGAGGUGAUGCUGGAGACCUCCAGGCUCCUGGUGUCUCUGGGUAAGGCUUCCCUAACUCUGCCAUAUGGGAAAUCUGUAACCUCCUCCACUCCACUCUCUGGCUUCAGGCCUGGCUACUUAUGAAGGCUGCUGUAGCCAUCCUGUCCUCCUCCCCACUUCAGUCAUUUUCUAGACUCCUCUUUUCCUGCCUACUCUCUUGUGUCUUAAGGAGGGUUAGGCAAGAAACAUAGUUUGCUUUUGGUCACAACCAAAGGAGAAGGAUGUGCUGGGAGAAGAUGGAGGUAUCUCACAGAACCUGAAGGCAGGAAUUCCAGCUGGGUCCCUGGGGGACUGAUACAGCAACUUAUAAAAGCACAGUUAUGCCCUGGCUACUGGGGCUAUCUUCCUGGCUUCUCUCUGUGGGUUUGCUUGUGUCUGUCUUUUCACAAUGAGUUUUUCUACCACUGCUAUUUUGCAGCAGGAAGUGGCUGCCCAGUCCUUGCUGUGUAAAGGCCCCAUGUUCCUUGUCUUUACUUCUUUCUGUAUGCUGAUACUGUUCCUCUUCACUCAUUCAUUACUCCCAACAUGCCAUCCUUGGCAAAUGAGGAAAAUGGGGUCACUAUGUGAGUCCCUCAUAAAGCUUAAUCUGUUCAAUUUAAAAGACACAUCUUCAUUGUGAAAAGCUCUCCUCUGCAGUUUUUGGUGGUACAAGUCCUUUCUUUUGUGAAAUGUUGGCCAGAAUAGAUGGUGUUUUCUAUUUGUGCACAUGUCUCUAUUUGACCAAAUUGCUAAGUGCGAUUCCCAGUUUUUUCUUCUUAGUGGUUCAUAAAAUGGUGUCACCAAGUCUGCUUCUCCCCCUGACCCCCGUUUCCUGAGGAUUGAAUCCUCCUGCUCACAUCCCCCUCUCACUGUUUCAGCCUCCUUGGACUCAGGUUGCUGGCCCCACAUAGGAGUGUUUGCUGUUUUCUUCUUGCUGUAGUGUUUAGGAGAUCAGGGUCUUUUGUUUCUCCAUAUAAACUUGAGAAUCAGUUUGUUGAUAUCUACAAAAUGACUUGCUGGGAUUUUGACUGGGAUUGCAUUGAAUCUACAGAUCAAAUUGGGAAGAACUGACAUCUCAAUAAUAUUGAGCCUUUCUAUCCAUCUACAUGAAAUAUUGCUCCAUUUAUUUUGUUCUUUGAUUUUGUUUAUCAGAGUUUUGUAGCUUUCCUCAUGUAGAUCUUGUAUAUAUUUUUUUAGAUUUAUACCUAAGUAUUUCAUUUGGGGAGUAAUGUAAAUGGUAAUAUGUUUUUAAUUUUAACUUCUUUUUUUUUAAAGAUUUUAUUUAUUUAUUCAUGAGAGACACAGAUAGAGAGAGAGGCAGAGACACAGGCAGAGGGAGAAGCAGGCUCCCUGUGGGGAGCCUGAUGUGGGACUUGAUCCUGGGUCUCCAGGAUCACGCCCUGGGCGGAAGGCAGGCACUAAACCACUGAGCCAACCAGGGAUCCCCAAUUUUAACUUCUAUUUGUUAAGUGCUGGUAUAUGUGAAGGCAUUUUGUACAUUAACCUUGUAUCCUACAAUCUUGCUAUAAUUGCUUAUUAGUUUUAGAGGUCUUUUUUCUUUUUAUUCUGUUGGAUUUUCCAUGUAGAUGAUCAUGUCAUCUACAAAUGAAGAAUUUUGUUUCUUCCUUCUCAAUCUGUAUACCUUUUUCUUGUUGUAUUAAUUGGUGCUUUCAGCUUAAUGUUGAAAUAUGGUUAGAGAGAACAUCCUGCCUU